GAUGAACGCUGGCGGCGUGCCUAAUACAUGCAAGUCGAGCGAACGGACGAGAAGCUUGCUUCUCUGAUGUUAGCGGCGGACGGGUGAGUAACACGUGGAUAACCAACCUUUAAAACUGGAAUAACUUCGGGAAACGGGGGCUAAUACGGGAUAUAUUUUUAAACCGCAUGGUUAAAAAGUGAAGACGGGUCUUGUUGUCCCUUUUGAAGGGAUCCGCGCUGCAUUAGCUAGUUGGUAAGGUAACGGCUUACCAAGGCAACGAUGCAUAGCCUACCUGAGAGGGUGAUCGGCCACACUGGAACUGAGACACGGUCCAGACUCCUACGGGAGGCAGCAGUAGGGAAUCUUCCGCAAUGGGCGAAAGCCUGACGGAGCAACGCCGCGUGAGUGAUGAAGGUCUUCGGAUCGUAAAACUCUGUUAUUAGGGAAGAACAUAUGUGUAAGUAACUGUGCACAUCUUGACGGUACCUAAUCAGAAAGCCACGGCUAACUACGUG
This 497-nucleotide ribosomal RNA is filed under the name uncultured bacterium. RNAcentral describes it as "partial 16S ribosomal RNA". It matches the Rfam family "Bacterial small subunit ribosomal RNA", at positions 28 to 507 of the family's 1533-position model. The record is from RNAcentral.